RNAcentral lists this ribosomal RNA (376 nucleotides) under uncultured bacterium. RNAcentral describes it as "bacterial SSU rRNA". It matches the Rfam family "Bacterial small subunit ribosomal RNA", at positions 524 to 898 of the family's 1533-position model. The record is from RNAcentral.
GACAGAGGGUGCAAACGUUGUUCGGAAUCACUGGGCGUAAAGCGCGUGUAGGCGGCAAUGUAAGUCGGAUGUGAAAUCCCGCGGCUCAACCGUGGAAGUGCACCCGAAACUACAUAGCUAGAGUGUCGGAGAGGAAGGUGGAAUGCUUGGUGUAGAGGUGAAAUUCGUAGAUAUCAAGCGGAACACCGGUGGCGAAGGCGGCCUUCUGGACGACGACUGACGCUGAGACGCGAAAGCGUGGGUAGCAAACAGGAUUAGAUACCCUGGUAGUCCACGCCGUAAACGAUGAGUGCUAGGUGUCAGAGGCUUUGACCCUUCUGGUGCCGAAGCUAACGCGUUAAGCACUCCGCCUGGGGAGUACGGUCGCAAGACUAAA